UUGGCUUCUGCUCCCGUGUCUAUCAUUGGGGUAUAAUAUCUGUUAUAAUAAUUUUCUAUUAUUAUUUUUGCAAGUAUAUAUAUUUUCAUAUUGUCCUUUUUAUUACUACUUUCUUCUUUUUAUAGGUUAUAGCUAGUUGUGUAUUUUGUAGAUUAUAUGGUUUCAUUUCUUCUAACCAUUUUAUUCCUAGUGUAAUAUUCUUAUUUCCUUGGUAGAUUUUGAAUUUUAUUAACAUUAAUAUUCCUCCAAUAUUAUUUAUUUUUCUAUUGUUUCUUCAGAAUUUAAUAAUAAUUUUGGUAAAUCUGGACAUGUUUGUUCUUUAGAG
Molecule: long non-coding RNA, 325 nt
Filed under: Solanum tuberosum (potato)
Lineage: Eukaryota; Viridiplantae; Streptophyta; Magnoliopsida; Solanales; Solanaceae
Description: long non-coding RNA (STUB_LNC002519)
Source: RNAcentral